This 252-nucleotide ribosomal RNA is filed under the name uncultured bacterium. RNAcentral describes it as "partial 16S ribosomal RNA". It matches the Rfam family "Bacterial small subunit ribosomal RNA", at positions 524 to 776 of the family's 1533-position model. The record is from RNAcentral.
UACGUAGGUCCCGAGCGUUGUCCGGAUUUAUUGGGCGUAAAGCGAGCGCAGGUGGUUUAUUAAGUCUGGUGUAAAAGGCAGUGGCUCAACCAUUGUAUGCAUUGGAAACUGGUAGACUUGAGUGCAGGAGAGGAGAGUGGAAUUCCAUGUGUAGCGGUGAAAUGCGUAGAUAUAUGGAGGAACACCGGUGGCGAAAGCGGCUCUCUGGCCUGUAACUGACACUGAGGAGCGAAAGCGUGGGGAGCAAACAGG